UCCCGUUGAUCCUGCGGGAGGUCGCUGCUAUUGGGGUUCGACUAAUCCAUGCAAGUCUGGUAGCAAUACCGGCGAAAUGCUCAGUAACACGUCGUUAAUCUGCCCUUAGGUCCAGGAUAACCUUGGGAAACUGAGGCUAAGACUGGAUAGGGGAUUGAUACUGGAAGGUUCUUUCUCUUAAAAGUAAUGCCUAAGGAUGAGACGGCGGCCGAUUAGGUUGUUGGUGGUGUAAAGGACCACCAAGCUUAUGAUCGGUAGGGGCCUUGAGAGAGGUAGCCUCGAGAAGGGUACUGAGACACUGACCCUAGCCCUACGGGGUGCAGCAGGCGCGAAACCUUUACAAAGCACGAAAGUGUGAUAAGGGAACCCCAAGUGCCUUGCUUUCGCAAGGCUUUUGUCAAGUGCAAAUAGCUUGGAGAAUAAGUGGUGGGCAAGACUGGUGCCAGCCGCCGCGGUAACACCAGCUCCACAAGUGGUGACCACAAUUAUUGGGCCUAAAGCGUCCGUAGCCGGUUCUAUAAAUCUUUUGUGAAAUCGUUUGACUUAACCAAACGGCGUGCAGAAGACACUGUAGAACUAGAGACCGGGAGGAGUUAAAAGAAUUUCUGGGGGAGCGGUAAAAUGCAAUAAUCCCAGAAAGACUACCUGUGGCGAAGGCGUUUAACUAGAACGGUUUUGACGGUGAGGGACGAAAGCUAAGGGAGCGAUCCGGAUUAGAUACCCGAGUAGUCUUAGCUGUAAACUCUGCGAGCUAGGUGUUGCACAUUCUUCGUGAAUGUGCAGUGUCGAAGCGAAGGUAUUAAGCUCGCCGCCUGGGAAGUAUGGUCGCAAGGCUGAAACUUAAAGGAAUUGGCGGGGGAGCACUACAAGGGGUGCGGCGUGCGGUUUAAUCUAAUUCAACGCAGAGAAUCUCACCAGAGGCGACGGCAGGAUGAAAGACAGUCUGAAGGGCUUUCUUGACGAGCCGAGAGGUAGUGCAUGGCCGUCGUCAGCUCGUGCCGUAAGGUGUCCUGUUAAGUCAGGCAACGAGCGAGACCUGUACUUAGAAUUGCUAACGACCUUUUGGAUCGAGCACAUUCUAAGGACUGCCUUCGAAAGAAGGAGGAAGGUGCAGGCUACGGUAGGUCUGUAUGCUCCGAAUCCUCUGGGCUACACGCGCGCAACAAUGAUAGAGACAAUGGGAUGCAACUCCGAAAGGAGAAGCUAAUCCUCCAAACUCUACCUUAGUUUAGAUCGAGGAUUGUAACUCAUCCUCGUGACACUGGAAUCCCUAGUAAUCAGAUUUUAUCAUGGUCUGGUGAAUAUGUCCCUGCUCCUUGCACACACCGCCCGUCAAACCACCCGAGUAGGGUUUAGAUGAGGUCUUAUUUAGAAUAAGCUCAAAUCUAAGCUCAGCGAGGAGGGUUAAGUCGUCACAAGGUA
RNAcentral lists this ribosomal RNA (1422 nucleotides) under metagenome. RNAcentral describes it as "bacterial SSU rRNA". It matches the Rfam family "Archaeal small subunit ribosomal RNA". The record is from RNAcentral.